Molecule: ribosomal RNA, 203 nt
Filed under: uncultured bacterium
Lineage: Bacteria
Description: partial 16S ribosomal RNA
Rfam family: Bacterial small subunit ribosomal RNA
Source: RNAcentral
UACGAAGGGGGCUAGCGUUGCUCGGAAUGACUGGGCGUAAAGGGCGCGUAGGCGGUUCGUACAGUCAGACGUGAAAUUCCCGGGCUCAACCUGGGGGCUGCGUUUGAUACGUGCGGGCUUGAGUUCGGAAGAGGGUCGUGGAAUUCCCAGUGUAGAGGUGAAAUUCGUAGAUAUUGGGAAGAACACCGGUGGCGAAAGGCGGC